Molecule: ribosomal RNA, 497 nt
Filed under: uncultured bacterium
Lineage: Bacteria
Description: partial 16S ribosomal RNA
Rfam family: Bacterial small subunit ribosomal RNA
Source: RNAcentral
GAUGAACGCUGGCGGCGUGCCUAAUACAUGCAAGUCGAGCGAACGGACGAGAAGCUUGCUUUUCUGAUGUUAGCGGCGGACGGGUGAGUAACACGUGGAUAACCUACCUAUAAGACUGGGAUAACUUCGGGAAACCGGAGCUAAUACCGGAUAAUAUUUUGAACCGCAUGGUUCAAAAGUGAAAGACGGUCUUGCUGUCACUUAUAGAUGGAUCCGCGCUGCAUUAGCUAGUUGGUAAGGUAACGGCUUACCAAGGCAACGAUGCAUAGCCGACCUGAGAGGGUGAUCGGCCACACUGGAACUGAGACACGGUCCAGACUCCUACGGGAGGCAGCAGUAGGGAAUCUUCCGCAAUGGGCGAAAGACUGACGGAGCAACGACGCGUGAGUGAUGAAGGUCUUCGGAUCGUAAAACUCUGUUAUUAGGGAAGAACAUAUGUGUAAGUAACUGUGCACAUCUUGACGGUACCUAAUCAGAAAGCCACGGCUAACUACGUG